GCACCAGUGGGGUAUAUUGCGCAAUGGGCGAAAGCGAGACCCAGCGACGCCGCGUGACCGAUGAAGGCCUUCGGGUUGUAAAGCUCUAUAGUCUGGGAAGAAGGACUGUCGGCACCGCAUAAAAGCCCCGGCUAAUUUCGUCCCCGCAGCCGCGGUAAGACGUAGGGGGCGAGCGUUUUCCGGAUUUACUGGGUGUAAAGGGCGCGUAGGCGGCCUUUAAAGUCAGGUGUAAAAUCCCCGGGCUCAACCCGGGGAUCGCACUUGAAACUGGGCGUCUAGAGGGCAGGAGAGGGGAGUGGAAUUCCCGGUGUAGCGGUGAAAUGUGUAGAUCUCGGGAGGAAUACCAGUGGAGAAGGCGUCUCUCUGGCCUGACCCUGACGGUGAGGCGCGAAAGCGUGGGGCGCAAACAGGAUUAGAUCCCCUGGUUGUCCACGCCGUAAACGAUGGGUACUAGGUGUGGGGCAGGAAGCAUUCCGUGCCGUAGC
This 485-nucleotide ribosomal RNA is filed under the name uncultured bacterium. RNAcentral describes it as "bacterial SSU rRNA". It matches the Rfam family "Bacterial small subunit ribosomal RNA", at positions 348 to 852 of the family's 1533-position model. The record is from RNAcentral.